RNAcentral lists this ribosomal RNA (463 nucleotides) under uncultured bacterium. RNAcentral describes it as "partial 16S ribosomal RNA". It matches the Rfam family "Bacterial small subunit ribosomal RNA", at positions 29 to 507 of the family's 1533-position model. The record is from RNAcentral.
ACGAACGCUGGCGGCGUGCUUAACACAUGCAAGUCGAGCGGUAAGGCCCCUUCGGGGGUACACGAGUGCCGAACGGGUGAGUAACACGUGGGUGAUCUGCCCUGCACUUCGGGAUAAGCCUGGGAAACUGGGUCUAAUACCGGAUAGGACCACGCUCUGCAUGGAGUGUGGUGGAAAGCUUUUGCGGUGUGGGAUGGGCCCGCGGCCUAUCAGCUUGUUGGUGGGGUGAUGGCCUACCAAGGCGACGACGGGUAGCCGGCCUGAGAGGGUGUCCGGCCACACUGGGACUGAGAUACGGCCCAGACUCCUACGGGAGGCAGCAGUGGGGAAUAUUGCACAAUGGGCGCAAGCCUGAUGCAGCGACGCCGCGUGGGGGAUGACGGCCUUCGGGUUGUAAACCUCUUUCAGUACCGACGAAGCGCAAGUGACGGUAGGUACAGAAGAAGCACCGGCCAACUACGUG